Molecule: ribosomal RNA, 315 nt
Filed under: uncultured eukaryote
Lineage: Eukaryota
Description: partial 18S ribosomal RNA
Rfam family: Eukaryotic small subunit ribosomal RNA
Source: RNAcentral
CCCUUAGAUGUUCUGGGCCGCACGCGCGCUACACUGAUCGGUGCAACAAGCAUCCGUCCUUGGCCGACAGGCCCGGGCAAUCUUUGAACGCCGGUCGUGAUGGGGAUAGACCUUUGCAAUUUUUGGUCUUCAACGAGGAAUUCCUAGUAAACGCAAGUCAUCAACUUGCAUUGAUUACGUCCCUGCCCUUUGUACACACCGCCCGUCGCACCUACCGAUUGAAUGGUCCGGUGAAGCCUCCGGAUUGGCGCGCACCUCGGUGCCGCCGAGAAGUUGGCUAAACCUUACCAUUUAGAGGAAGGUGAANUCGUANCA